RNAcentral lists this long non-coding RNA (217 nucleotides) under Lathyrus oleraceus (garden pea). RNAcentral's name for it is "Pisum sativum (pea) long non-coding RNA (PSAT_LNC031720)". The record is from RNAcentral. Lineage: Eukaryota; Viridiplantae; Streptophyta; Magnoliopsida; Fabales; Fabaceae.
UUUAUAUUGCUCUAUGGUUUCAAGGGUGAUUACUUUUUCUUGUUUCUUUUCAAAUUUUCACCCUUUCAUAAGAAACUCACUUUUCCAAGUUUCUAAUCACUUCUCAUUUUACUCUCCCCAACUUUAGAUUCCAAAACCAAAAUUAUUCAAUAAUGCUCCCUACUUAGACACAAGCAAAAGGCAAAAUUUCGCAAACAACUUGGUUUGAGGUUUCAAC